RNAcentral lists this ribosomal RNA (500 nucleotides) under uncultured bacterium. Its description in RNAcentral is "partial 16S ribosomal RNA". It matches the Rfam family "Bacterial small subunit ribosomal RNA", at positions 28 to 523 of the family's 1533-position model. The record is from RNAcentral.
GAUGAACGCUGGCGGCGUGCCUAAUACAUGCAAGUCGAGCGAGGUUCUUCGGAACCUAGCGGCGGACGGGUGAGUAACACGUGGGUAACCUGCCUGUAAGACUGGGAUAACUCCGGGAAACCGAAGCUAAUACCGGAUAAUUUUGAGCAUCGCAUGAUGCUUGAUGGAAAGACGGUUUCGGCUGUCACUUACCGAAGGACCCGCGUCGCAUUAGCUAGUUGGUGAAGUAACAGCUCACCAAGGCGACGAUGCGUAGCCGACCUGAGAGGGUGAUCGGCCACACUGGGACUGAGACACGGCCCAGACUCCUACGGGAGGCAGCAGUAGGGAAUCUUCGGCAAUGGGCGAAAGCCUGACCGAGCAACGCCGCGUGAGCGAUGAAGGCCUUCGGGUCGUAAAGCUCUGUUGUUAAGGAAGAACGAGUACGAGAGUAACUGCUCGUACCUUGACGGUACUUAACGAGAAAGUCACGGCUAACUACGUGCCAGCCGCCGCGGUAA